This 497-nucleotide ribosomal RNA is filed under the name uncultured bacterium. RNAcentral describes it as "partial 16S ribosomal RNA". It matches the Rfam family "Bacterial small subunit ribosomal RNA", at positions 28 to 507 of the family's 1533-position model. The record is from RNAcentral.
GACGAACGCUGGCGGCGUGCCUAAUACAUGCAAGUUGAGCGCUGAAGGUUGGUACUUGUACCCACUGGAUGAGCAGCGAACGGGUGAGUAACGCGUGGGGAAUCUGCCUUUGAGCGGGGGACAACAUUUGGAAACGAAUGCUAAUACCGCAUAAAAACUUUAAACACAAGUUUUAAGUUUGAAAGAUGCAAUUGCAUCACUCAAAGAUGAUCCCGCGUUGUAUUAGCUAGUUGGUGAGGUAAAGGCUCACCAAGGCGAUGAUACAUAGCCGACCUGAGAGGGUGAUCGGCCACAGUGGGACUGAGACACGGCCCAAACUCCUACGGGAGGCAGCAGGAGGGAAACUUCGGCAAUGGACGAAAGGCUGACCGAGCAACGCCGCGGGAGGGAAGAAGGGUGUCGGAUCGUAAAACUCGGUUGGUAGAGAAGAACGUUGGUGAGAGUGGAAAGCUCAUCAAGUGACGGUAACUACCCAGAAAGGGACGGCUAACUACGUG